Molecule: ribosomal RNA, 474 nt
Filed under: Peptostreptococcus stomatis
Lineage: Bacteria; Bacillati; Bacillota; Clostridia; Peptostreptococcales; Peptostreptococcaceae
Description: bacterial SSU rRNA
Rfam family: Bacterial small subunit ribosomal RNA
Source: RNAcentral
GAUGAACGCUGGCGGCGUGCCUAACACAUGCAAGUCGAGCGAGGGUUUGCUCAGUAUUGAGUAUUCUAAGACUAGAAUGUUCAAUUCUGAGCAAAACCAAGCGGCGGACGGGUGAGUAACGCGUGGGUAACCUGCCCUAUACACAUGGAUAACAUACUGAAAAGUUUACUAAUACAUGAUAAUAUAUAUUUGCGGCAUCGCAGAUAUAUCAAAGUGUUAGCGGUAUAGGAUGGACCCGCGUCUGAUUAGCUAGUUGGUGAGAUAACUGCCCACCAAGGCGACGAUCAGUAGCCGACCUGAGAGGGUGAUCGGCCACAUUGGAACUGAGACACGGUCCAAACUCCUACGGGAGGCAGCAGUGGGGAAUAUUGCACAAUGGGCGAAAGCCUGAUGCAGCAACGCCGCGUGAACGAUGAAGGUCUUCGGAUCGUAAAGUUCUGUUGCAGGGGAAGAUAAUGACUGUACCCUGGAGGA